GUUUGAUCAUGGCUCAGAACGUACGCUGGCGGCACGCCUAACACAUGCAAGUCGAACGAAGUAGCAAUACUUAGUGGCAGACGGGUGAGUAACAUGUAGGUAUCUGCCCUUUGGCCUGGAAUAACACGAGGAAACUUGUGCUAAUACCGGAUAAGUCUUUACGGAGAAAGCUUUAUGCACCAUUGGAUGAGCCUGCACUUGAUUAGUUUGUUGGUGGGGUAAUGGCCUACCAAGACUGUGAUCAAUAGCUGAUUUGAGAGGAUGAUCAGCCACAUUGGGACUGAGACACGGCCCAAACUCCUACGGGAGGCAGCAGUGGGGAAUCUUGCACAAUGGAGGAAACUCUGAUGCAGCGAUGCCGCGUGAGUGAAGAAGGCCCUUGGGUUGUAAAGCUCUUUCGUCGGGGAAGAAAAUGACUGUACCCGAAUAAGAAGGUCCGGCUAACUUCGUGCCAGCAGCCGCGGUAAUACGAAGGGACCUAGCGUAGUUCGGAAUUACUGGGCUUAAAGAGUUCGUAGGUGGUUGAAAAAGUUAGUGGUGAAAUCCCAGAGCUUAACUCUGGAACUGCCAUUAAAACUUUUCAGCUAGAGUAUGAUAGAGGAAAGCAGAAUUUCUAGUGUAGAGGUGAAAUUCGUAGAUAUUAGAAAGAAUACCAAUUGCGAAGGCAGCUUUCUGGAUCAUUACUGACACUGAGGAACGAAAGCAUGGGUAGCGAAGAGGAUUAGAUACCCUCGUAGUCCAUGCCGUAAACGAUGUGUGUUAGACGUUGGAAAUUUAUUUUCAGUGUCGCAGGGAAACCGAUAAACACACCGCCUGGGGAGUACGACCGCAAGGUUAAAACUCAAAUGAAUUGACGGGGACCCGCACAAGUAGUGGAGCAUGUGGUUUAAUUCGAAGAUACGCGCAGAACCUUACCAACACUUGACAUGUUCGUCGCGACUCUAAGAGAUUAGAGUUUUCGGUUCGGCCGGACGAAACACAGGUGCUGCAUGGCUGUCGUCAGCUCGUGUCGUGAGAUGUUGGGUUAAGUCCCGCAACGAGCGCAACCCUCACUUUUAGUUGCCAUCAUUAAGUUGGGCACUCUGAAAGAACUGCCAGUGAUAAGCUGGAGGAAGGUGGGGAUGACGUCAAGUCCUCAUGGCCCUUACGUGUUGGGCUACACACGUGCUACAAUGGUAUCUACAACAGGAAGCAAGACUGCGAAGUUAAGCAAAUCCCUAAAAGAUACCUCAGUUCGGAUUGCACUCUGCAACUCGAGUGCAUGAAGCUGGAAUUACUAGUAAUCGUGGAUCAGCGUGCCACGGUGAAUGCGUUCCCGGGUCUUGUACACACCGCCCGUCACACCAUGGGAGUUGGUUCUACCUUAAGGCAAGGUUUCAAACCCUUGACCACGGUAUAGUCAGCGACUGGGGUGAAGUC
Molecule: ribosomal RNA, 1419 nt
Filed under: uncultured bacterium
Lineage: Bacteria
Description: bacterial SSU rRNA
Rfam family: Bacterial small subunit ribosomal RNA
Source: RNAcentral